AAAGGGGACCCUGCCACCCUCCCACCCACCACCCCAACCCAAAGCACAGACACUCGCGCGCAUUUCCGGAAAGUCUUUUUCGCACUCCCCGCGAGCUUUUGGAACCAGCACCAAGUUGCUGGGAUUCCCAGUGUACCCCCUGGGCUGCUGCCAACAAGGCACCCUCAGUUUCCAGCGCAGUAGAAUGGGGGCAAGCCCAGAAAGAGCUAGCAGCUUCUGGCGCUUUGCCUUGCUACCCUAGAAGCACUGUCACGUCCCUGACCCAGAGCUCACAGGGGAGCAGGUCGGCCUCUCAUCCCCCAGCUCCUGGCUUAGUGCCUGGCUCACAGUGAGGGGAGGUUGGAGGCGUCUUGGGGUAGGAGGAUCAAGAAAACAAACUGUUAGUGCAGUUCUUGCAGAGGUGUGGGGGUCGAUAUUCUUAUUGAGAGCCAACAUGACCGCGCACUGAGAGCAGGUGAUGAUAAAGACAACAGUGAGGUAUCACUUGAGAGAGAGAUGCAGUUCAGUCGCUGACCCUAGAGGACAACGGAUCAGAAGGGGGGCUGGUGGAGCGCGGGGUGUGGGGGAGGCAACACACAGAGAUAAAGCAGGUCAGAGUUCAGUCAUCUGGAAGUGAGGAUAUGAUUCGGAUGGUGAGCACCUUGUUAAGAGCAGGAUUAUCUGUAGGAAACACUUGAAACACCUGGAUUGGGCACUUCAUGGAGCGUUUAAAGAAGUCUCCCUACUGCCAGCUCCUCCCCAAAGUCAAGCGGGAGGGAACCUGUUGAUGCUGACAUAGAAGUGGCCCUCCUGGGGCCAACAGCUGGGUGGAGAAAGCCACCAAAUUGCAGAUGCUAUCCUGAUUCCAUCCUGACUUCCUUGGACAGAUAACCUCACCAAUGUGUCCUGGAACCUCACUUCUCCAGAGCCCUACCCCACUGGAGGUAUGGAUUGAACUGCCAACACCCAUGUUCAGUGGAGAAGCAAUUACAGAAGCCAGAACUCCCACCUUACACACCCCCAAAAUAAUUUUGUUCCAUACUCCAGUGGGGGAGAAAUGACAGAGGGAAGAAGAACAGAUCUCUCUAAACUCCAACUCCAUCAGGACCAGGAGAGAGAAGAGGAAAAAAGGAGGGACAUUUGGAUGUAGUAAUAGAUAUAUGUGUGAUGUGGAAAGGAAGAGAAGAUGGGAUCUUUAAAAACUGAACAAAACAACAACAACGAUAAUAACCUCCAGGAGCAGUAGAUUCGUAGUGCAGGCACCAAGUCCCAGCAAUAAACCUGGAGACAAAAAAAACAAAAACAAACCCUACUUAUUUUAUUUCCGUGUGGAGUCUAAGCGUAAACAUCUUUGACGAGCUCUUCUGGUGUGUCUGUCUGAUGUCUAGUCAGGUGGGGAAGAUUAUAGACUUUUCUCUUGAAACUGUAAACUGUUAUGUCUAAUGAGUUGACAAGGCAUUAAAUACAGAGGUCUAUAACCAGGAAUAACUUUGGUCUCAGAUAAGCCAUUUACUCCAACUGUCACUGAGCCCAGAGAUUAGCCCCUGUGCUCUGGGCAUCCCACUUUGCCUCCAUUUGUCCAGGUGUGGGCACUGAAUCCCGUCAGCUGGUGAUUAAGACGAGAAAAACAGCAGUCACUGCCACCUGUGUAACCUUGUCCAGAUUUAACGCUACCUUCCCAGCCUACUUCUUUCUAUCAUCUUGCAAAAACAGCUUUUGAAGUUUCCAAAUUACUUUUAUUUCUCCUGUGCAGCACAAAAGAAUGAGCCAAGGAUCUCAGACAUGCAUGACAAUACCAAGUGAACUCCCUGGCCCCAUUUAUUAAUCCUUCCCCUCCUCGAUUUUUAAAUUCUAUAUACUGAUAUUUAGAGAGAGUAAGGAAAGAUGGAGAGAGCACAGAGAGAGGAACAGAAUGCUACUCUGUCAUUCAUGGAGUUCCUUUCAUUGCUGUUCAUGGUGCUCCCAUGUAGUGCCAGAAAUUGAACCCAGGAUCUCACCAUGUUAAGAGUUCACUGUACCUGCUAAACUGUCUCCCAUUCCACUCCAAAUUCUUUUCUCCUCCUCCCCUUCCUCUUCUUUUUUUAAAAUUUAUUCAUUUAUUCCCUUUUUUUGUUGUUGCCCUUGUUUUUUAUUGUUGUAGUUAUUGUUGUUGUUAUUGAUGUCGUUGUUGUUGGAUAGGACAGAGAGAAAUGGAGAGAGGAGGGGAAGACAGAGAAGGGGAGAGAAAGAGAGACACCUGCAGACCUGGUUCACCAUCAGUGAAGCCACUCCCCUGCAGGUGGGAAGCCGGAGGCUUGAACUGGGAUCCUUACUCCUGUUCUUGCACUUUGUGCCACCUGCGCUUAACCUGCCUGACUUCCACCCUCCUCUUUCUUCUUUUUUGCCAUCUGAGUUUUCACUGGGGCUUAGGGUCUGCAUGAUUAAUCUGGUGCUCAAGGAUGAUGAAGAUGUGUGUAUUUUUUUUUUUUUUUUUGAAGAGAAAUUGAGAGGAGAAAGACAGAAAGGGAGAGAGAUACCUGUAGCCUUGUUGCAUAAUUCACGUAACUUCCCACCUUGUAGGUGGGGAUAGGGCUUGAACUCAGGUCCCUGUGCAUAACAUGUGUGCCCUACAGAAUGUGCCACUGUUUGACCCCUCACCUCCAAAUUCUUUUUUUAAAAAAUAUAUAUUUAUUUAUUCCCUUUUGUUGCCCUUUUUAUUGUUGUAGUUAUUGUUGUUGUCAUUGUUGGAUAGGACAUUUCUCUAGAAAUGGAGAGGGGAGGGGAAGACAGAGAAGGAG
Erinaceus europaeus (western European hedgehog) is the source of this 2756-nucleotide long non-coding RNA. RefSeq lists it as uncharacterized. The transcript is spliced from 4 exons. The record is from RefSeq and is a predicted model, not a curated record. Lineage: Eukaryota; Metazoa; Chordata; Mammalia; Eulipotyphla; Erinaceidae.